CGGCCUUCCUAGGGUAUGUCGUACAGCGCCGCCUGCUGAUGCUGCCAACCGCCAAUGGCGGCGGUGGAUGCGGUGUAGGAGGUUGGGGAUGGUUUGGGGGAGGCGGGAGGGGAGGCGGUGAGGGGUGGGGAGCGGUGGGGGCCGGGCAGCUGGGUUUUGGUGGCGGGGGGAUGGGAGGGGACGGGGGAAGCUGGUUUGAGGGGGAGGGGGAGGGGGAGGGUGGCAGCAUGUGGACUUGGGGACGGAAGGACAAGGUGGCGUGAUGCGGGAGUUGUUGUGGUGGUGGUGGUGGUGGUGGUGGUGAUGAUGGUCGUGAUGGUGGUUGUGUUGGUCUAUCAAGGAGGCGGGAAGUUGCUCAUUAGGCUAGGCGGGAGGUGUGUGCACGGGGGGGUGGGGGGGGGUGAGAUGUGACGGGGUGUAAGGAGGGUAAUGAUGGUUACGGAGCUGCGUCCGCACCGUGGAGGACGAAGAGGCCGUGGGUAAGGAGGGAGACGGCGGCGGCGGCGGCGGUAGAGGAGGAGGCGGUGGAGGAGGAGGAGGCGGUGGAGGAGGAGGUGGUGGAGGAGGAGGAGGCGUACCGUCACCCUAUCCAUCAAGGACAGGGUAAAAAACGAGAGGGAGCCAGAAAACACGAGUGAUGGUGCUCCGGUGGUCCCCCGGUGGUGGAGGGGGAGAUAGAGAGAUAUCGUGUGGUGGCGAACACGGGGGACGCAAACCCUAGGAGGAGCUUUUCCCGCAUCUCGGCGGGAUAUUCCUGCGCGUGUUUGGUGUGAUGGUCUGUUGUUAAGGGGGCCCAGAGUUGUAGAGUUGCCUUUGUGUGUGUGUGUGUGUGUGUGUAUGUGUGUGUAUGUGUGUGUGUGUGUGUGUGUGUGUGCGCGCGCACGUGUGUGUGUGUGUGUUCCAACGGGCGGAAAUUAAUUUCAUUUUACAGGGACUGUGCAGCAGAAGUGCACCGUGCCGUUGUGGGAAUGUGGGAUCUAUUUGAAGUUAAUGGGUUUCAAGGGGGGAAAGCACGAAAGAGGUUUUUCUCGUCUCCGCUUGCUCGCACACGUUUGUUUUGCUGCAGCGUGAGGCAAUUGGGAAAGGUGCGGGGAAAAUGUAAGGAUGUGCGGCAAUGAAAAUGUGCAACAACAGCCACCGUUAGUCAAGACAAACAUGCAAGGGAACCAGGCCGGUGAAUAUCUCGCUGCGAUGGGCAGCACCAGCUUCAAGAAGCAGCAGUUCCUGGCUGACACGGGCUCUUCUCACCUCUGCCAGACAUGCCAGCAUCAGGGAGGGCCCUUUCCGUCGUCGUCAGGUAGCCCAGCCUGUCCACCAACGUGCCCGAGCCAUAAUGAAGGGAAAGGGUCCUCGGUUCAUUGGAUGUAUCGGCCAUGUCUGGGGUCGUGGUCACAACUGCGGAGCAAGCCACCUCGAGCGUAUAUAAUAUACUUGUUUGUGUCCUCUAGUUUCAAAGUCAACCAGCGUGCGCUCGGCUUCGCCGCGCAGGGCAAAAGUGCACAUCAAAAACUCGUUUCCGUUGUCGUCGAUGCGGUACAGGUCAAACACUUGACGACCAGGUUGAUUUCGCUCCUGAUCUGUUGACGUUGUUUGGGGCAUGUGAUUUGCCUUUGGGGAACCAGGACGGGAGCCCUCGCCGGAUUCACUGGCGUAUCGUCUCCGAGACCCGCUCAGGAUGGAAUGCCGAAAAAAACGGGAAACGAUCAUCCCAGGGCAGCUUCAUAAGUUCCAACGCGGGGAAAGUAGAUAUGUGGAUAAGUAUUUUACUCGCGGCACACUCAACUAUUUUUUGUUGCAAGCCAUAACGAUCUCCACAGGCUCAUGCACCUCGAGUUCAGGCGGGCAAACAAGAUGGAAGAGAAAACGCGA
RNAcentral lists this long non-coding RNA (1869 nucleotides) under Volvox carteri. RNAcentral's name for it is "long non-coding RNA (VCAR_LNC000195)". Lineage: Eukaryota; Viridiplantae; Chlorophyta; Chlorophyceae; Chlamydomonadales; Volvocaceae. The record is from RNAcentral.